AGUGGCGAACGGGUGAGUAACACGUGGGCAAUCUGCCCUGCACUCUGGGACAAGCCCUGGAAACGGGGUCUAAUACCGGAUACUGACCUGCCAAGGCAUCUUGGCGGGUCGAAAGCUCCGGCGGUGCAGGAUGAGCCCGCGGCCUAUCAGCUUGUUGGUGAGGUAAUGGCUCACCAAGGCGACGACGGGUAGCCGGCCUGAGAGGGCGACCGGCCACACUGGGACUGAGACACGGCCCAGACUCCUACGGGAGGCAGCAGUGGGGAAUAUUGCACAAUGGGCGAAAGCCUGAUGCAGCGACGCCGCGUGAGGGAUGACGGCCUUCGGGUUGUAAACCUCUUUCAGCAGGGAAGAAGCGAAAGUGACGGUACCUGCAGAAGAAGCGCCGGCUAACUACGUGCCAGCAGCCGCGGUAAUACGUAGGGCGCAAGCGUUGUCCGGAAUUAUUGGGCGUAAAGAGCUCGUAGGCGGCUUGUCGCGUCGGUUGUGAAAGCCCGGGGCUUAACCCCGGGUCUGCAGUCGAUACGGGCAGGCUAGAGUUCGGUAGGGGAGAUCGGAAUUCCUGGUGUAGCGGUGAAAUGCGCAGAUAUCAGGAGGAACACCGGUGGCGAAGGCGGAUCUCUGGGCCGAUACUGACGCUGAGGAGCGAAAGCGUGGGGAGCGAACAGGAUUAGAUACCCUGGUAGUCCACGCCGUAAACGGUGGGCACUAGGUGUGGGCAACAUUCCACGUUGUCCGUGCCGCAGCUAACGCAUUAAGUGCCCCGCCU
Molecule: ribosomal RNA, 769 nt
Filed under: Streptomyces coelicoflavus
Lineage: Bacteria; Bacillati; Actinomycetota; Actinomycetes; Kitasatosporales; Streptomycetaceae
Description: bacterial SSU rRNA
Rfam family: Bacterial small subunit ribosomal RNA
Source: RNAcentral